GAUGAACGCUGGCGGCGUGCUUAACACAUGCAAGUCGAACGGAAAGGCUCCUGCUUGCAGGGGUACUCGAGUGGCGAACGGGUGAGUAACACGUGGGUGAUCUGCCCUGCACUUCGGGAUAAGCCUGGGAAACUGGGUCUAAUACCGGAUAGGACGAUGGUUUGGAUGCCAUUGUGGAAAGUUUUUUCGGUGUGGGAUGAGCUCGCGGCCUAUCAGCUUGUUGGUGGGGUAAUGGCCUACCAAGGCGUCGACGGGUAGCCGGCCUGAGAGGGUGUACGGCCACAUUGGGACUGAGAUACGGCCCAGACUCCUACGGGAGGCAGCAGUGGGGAAUAUUGCACAAUGGGCGCAAGCCUGAUGCAGCGACGCCGCGUGGGGGAUGACGGCCUUCGGGUUGUAAACUCCUUUCGCUAGGGACGAAGCGCAAGUGGCGGUACCUGGAGAAGAAGCACCGGCUAACUACGUG
RNAcentral lists this ribosomal RNA (466 nucleotides) under uncultured bacterium. RNAcentral describes it as "partial 16S ribosomal RNA". It matches the Rfam family "Bacterial small subunit ribosomal RNA", at positions 28 to 507 of the family's 1533-position model. The record is from RNAcentral.